GCUGUUGCAUUCGUAAUCGGUGGUAUGUAGGUGCAUUUACUUUAUUUUCUUUCUGCAUUGUUUUUCCCUACUAAAAAUUGUUUUGUUUGGGGCUUGCUAUUAACAUUUGCAUUAUGUGCUUGCAGGAGCAGAGGACUAAUAUUCAGAAGGAACGCAGAAGGUUGGUCGAUGCAAGAUUAAGAGAAGUUGAAUAACGAGGUAAGUCCUUCAGCUCUUCUUUUAUUUGGUGCACCGGCCUUUUAAUGACACCAUGUUACUUUCAGCUCGUAUUAGUUGAAAUGUACAUGUUAUUUAUACCUCAUCCAUGUGGCAUACCCCCUCUUCCAAAUAAGGCUUUACAAUAUGGAACACUGCAUCUGUGCUAAUGCGUGACUUUGUUGCUGAAUAGAGAGUGAUUGCAAAAUUAAUAAGCUCUUAUGAAAUUGUAAUACGCUUCCUACAGAGAGAGAUUUUGCCCAUUUGCCAUGAUUAUCUACUGUUGUGCUACCAGACUACCAUAAUAGAGGUGGGUAAGCUCCUAGUUUAGUGUCAGGUUCUGCACAAAGGCCUAUUCGUCUGACAAACAGGCAAGGGUUGUUCCAACACUACUAGUCAUCUAGUCCCCCCUUUCCCAUUGUCCUGAAAAAAUCAUUGACAUUUGGAUACCCUUGGAUAAUUGUAUUCAACACAGUACAGUCACGGGCCCACUCACACCAUAUUGCUGCAAACACUGUAUCCCUCUGUCCCCUUACAAUCCAUAUUGCUGCUGUCCUCCUGAAGUUCUUUUCAUUGCGACUGCUUCACCAGUGUGCUGGUUUUGGUGAACGUGUUGUUGUGGGCUUGUGGCAAGUAUUUGAUUUUAGCAAGGUGAAUGGUUCGCAGCUUGGCAUGCAUCAGUGAGCAAGUAGCUGGUUUAACACACUGCUGCCAGUCUGCCGUGUAGUGAGAUCCUGAUUGUUUUCGGCGAGUACUAUGCUAGGCGGAGGUUGAUGUUAUUCAGUCUUGUGGCAUAACGGCACUCUUCCAGAUCUGUGAAAGAUACCAGUCGCCAGACUGAUCAGAAAGAUAUCAUUUCAUUGCCUCACACAAUGUAUUUGUGCUCAUUUGCUUAACACUAUUGAUUUCAUCAUGUGGCUCAUUGUAACUUGCAUUUUCUUGAGACUUCAAAAAGUUUAUUAGUACUUGUGUGUUUUGGCCUUCAAGUUUUUUAGCCUUCAGAUGCGCAAAGCUGUUCAUACUGACUGACAAGAUGAAUUUUUUUUGAAACGAACCUGGCAGGAGAGCUGCCGAUUAUGUUAAAAAGAAGAAAUCCAGACUGGAUAAAUACAAUCGAUCAAAAAUGAAAUAAGGCAAAAACUGAACCAGAAAAACAAAACAACACUAUGAACUCAAUCGCAAUCAGCAUCGCGCCAGUAAAGUGGAGAGAUGUUUCGCUCCCGCCAUAAUCCACACGGCAGCCUCGUCUUUGAUCCUCUCAAAGAUCAUGUUGACAGUAGACUCCUUACUGUUAAAUAUUCUCAUAUUCCUUUCCCUCCAGAUUGUCCAUGUAACUAGCAUGAUCAAAGUUCGCAUGCCUCUCUUAGAGCAGGAAUUUGCUCCCGAUCUCAUCGACCACCAGUGAUGCAGCGUAUCUGCUUGUUGCCAGGCCCUCGGGUGGAUUGCUGGCGCUGACAACCAGUCCACCACCAUGGCCCAGAUUCUUGUUGUGACCCGGCAUUCGGCGAAGAGGUGUAACGCUGAUUCUUGUGAUCUUCGACAUAGUGGGCAGGUAGCUUGAUUUGGCCAUCCCCUUUUCUGAAGCUUGUUAGCAGUCCAAAGCCGAUUUUGGAUUGUGAGCCAGGAGAAGGUUUUGCAGCUUCUAGGAGCCCAUAUUUUCCAAAUCAAGCUGUCAAAGUUGGUGGAUGCCGAACCAAUGAACUGUGCGUCGUAAGUGGAUUUUGCGGAGUAGCUACCAUCUGCAGUAAACUUCCAAGUGAUUUCAUCUUGGACACUCGGGCGCAGGGCUACUUGUUGUACGACUUGCCACAGAAGGAUGAAUUCUCGAAAGUGCUGUACAAAGAACCUAUUGUGGUGUAUGUUGAUAUCCUGGAUCCAUGUUCGGUUGUGAAGCGCGUCACGUAAACUCUUGUUCUUCCUUUCUGAAAUGGAGAAAAUACCUGGCGCUAUGUCCUUUGGCCUUUGGCCUUGAACCCAGGCACUAUUCCAAAAGGAAGUUUUUGCUCCAUCGCCUACGUCGAUGCGUGUACAUGCCGCAAAUAAUUUCCUAUCCGUGUUAUUACAUGGAACCUCGGAGCCCACCGAAAGCUUGUCUUCCGCUUUCCACUCAUGCCAAAGCCAUCUGAGCCUCAGUCCUCUUGCAAACUUGUAGAUGUUUAAAAUACCUUCUCCCCCCAGUCUUGUCGGCCUGGCAGACCUUCGCCAAUUCACUUCGCAUUUUCCCCUUGUUAAUGUCGCCGCCCCUGCCCAAAAGAACUUCUUGCGCUUAGCGUCGAUUUUCUUCGUCACCUCUUUGGGGGCCUCCAUUGCCGACAGGAGGUAUACCGCCUGCGAUGUUAAUACUAAUUUGGUGAGUGCUAGGAGGCCCGCCAUAGUCAUGUUCCUCGCAUUCCACGCAGUGAGCUUGCAGGUCGCCUUGUCUAUGACCAACUGGAAGUGUACUCUCUUGAGCCUUGACGUCGUUAGUGGAAGACCAAGAUAUCGCACCAGAAAGGAAGACCGUGUGAUUGGAAUGCCUCCAAAGAUGUCGUCCAUAUUGAGCUCCUCGCAUCUUAUAGGCACCACACUUGAUUUCUCGAAAUUUGUUCUCAACCCCGACGCAUCACCAAAUCUAGUGAGGAGGUCAGCUAAAGCAAUGACAUCCUGCCUAGUCGGAUUUAGGAAAAUAGCUGUGUCGUCGGCGUACAUGGAUGUUUGGAAAUUGAGGGACCUGCCUCGCAGCUUGGAUAUGAACCCUCUUUCAGUGGCCUGCUCCAAUAAAGCUCGUAGCGGUUCGAUUGCAAUCACAAAAGGUAAAGGAGAUAAAGGAUCUCCUUGCUAUAGUCCUCUGUUGUGCCUGAUGGGGCUGUUUGGGACCCCAUUGAGAAGGAUCCUAGAUGAAGAUGUGUAGAAUAGAGAGGCCAUCCAUUCCCGCCAACAAAUGGGGAAGCCCAAGCGUUGAAGUAAACCUAGCAGGUAAUCCCAUCUCACCGAAUCAAACGCUUUGGCGAUGUCAAGCUUAAAAAUUAGUGUCGCAAUUUGUUGCCGAUGGUAGCGAUGUGCCAUGCUCCUGACUGUCAUAAAAUUAUCGUGGAUGCUCCUUUGCUUGAUGAAAGCCAAUUGUGAUUGUGACACAAUGUUUUUCAUGUGCAGAGCCAGCCGCAUGGCGAGCACCUUUGUAAUAAUCUUGAUGAAUGAGUGUAUCAAGCUUAUCGGUCUGAAGUCAGGGACUGCCUCGGCCCCUUCCUUUUUUGGCAACAACACUACGUUGGCCGUGUUGAUUAAAGGCAGGCUCAUGCAACGCAAGUUAUGAAAAGCAUUGGCCGUGUUUAUUUUUUUUUUCUAGAAUACGCAGGAGAGCUGCGCAUCAUUCCAUUAAGAAGAGAUGGAAAUAAUAAUACAACGCGGGCCUAUACCGGGCACACGCACACGGGCAGUAUAACACAGUGCCGAUUACAGGAUUCUGGAGCUACCAAAGAAGACCUUAAGUCCUAACAUCACUGAGUCACAAAACACCAACCCACACUGUGGAGACAAAGCGCCCCGGCUAUGUACCAGGCCGCCGCUUCCGCCGCGACUGCAUCCGCUAGCUGCUGCGGUGUCCUUUGAAUGUUUCCGGCGAAGACCCGAUUAUUGCGCUCUUUCCAAAUGAGCCAGGAGACUAAGGUGAAAGUGGAGUCGAAUCCUCGCUUACUAGCGCCAUGAAAUCCUCGUCUCCGGAGUAACCACCAAUCCAAUAGUGAAGACCCGGCAGCUGGCAAGGAUGAGGCGUUUCCGGUCAGUUGGUCAACUACGUGCCAUACCUGCUGUGUGUAGCUGCAGGUUGCAAGCAGGUGGUCAGAGGUCUCAGACUCCUGGCAGCAUAGACAGCAAUCGUCCCAGCUUUGUAACCCAUGCUUCAUCCGACGAGCCGAUGUCCAGAGCCGCUGCCUUGUAGCAGUCCACAUGAAGAGCUUAACUCGGAGGGGAGCCCACGCUCGCCAGAUGCAUCGGAAGGCCGGAGAUUGAACAGACCCCACGAAGAAGAAAUUGUACGCUGACUUGGCCGAGUAUGAGCCUGACUUCUCCCAACGCCACACAAUCCUAUCCUCAACUCCUUCCUGUAACUGGACGUUGGAUACCGCAUGCCAUAGCUGAACAUAUUGUGCAAUUGCAGCCACUGUUAGUGUCCCGACAAUGUCCCGGAUCCAACUUUUCUCCAUGAGAGCAGACCCCACUGUUCUUGUACUUCUGACAUGAGGCUUGACCAUUAGGCACAGAUCAGGAGCAAGAAUGCAAGGAGAUAGGGAGUCCAGCCAUUGAUCCUCCCAGAAAAGUGCGGUGUUCCCACUGCCCAAUUGCACCCUGGUGGAAAUCUGGAAGGCUUUUUUCAAAGUGCUGCUCUUUUCCAGGGUGUUGGCCAAGCAUUUCCAAGGCCGCCGAUCGUCAGUCCUCUUGAACCACAACCAGCGCAAUCGCAGAGCCACCGAAGCCCGACGGAGGUCUUGGAUACCUAGGCCCCCCACUGUUUUAGGUCGGCAGGCAAUUGGCCAGGUCACAAGGCAUUGCCCACCAUUGGCAGUCGGCUUACCAGCCCACAAGAAUCCUUUCUGGAGUUUGUCAAUUUCCUGGAAGACCCAAGCUGGAAUGUCAAGAGAAAUAAGAUUAUAGGUGCAGGUGGCCGUCAGAACCGAUUGGACCACAGUCAUUCUCCCCGCCUUAUUCAUAAGCUGUGCCUUCCAGUUCGGAAUCUUGCUGGCCACCUUAUCAAUCAAAGGUUGGAACUGAUUCUUCCUAAGGCUUCGUACUGACAGUGGCAUACCAAGGUAUUGUAUAGGAAAACCUACAACUUGGGCUGGAAAGAUGCCACGGAUUCUCUCUACCUGCUGAUCACUGCAUGCAAUUGGUGCAAUGGAGCACUUCUGCAGGUUUGUACGGAGUCCAGAAGCAUUACCAAAGAAAUCCAGAAUCCCUCUGAUAGCAAUAGCAUCCUGAACCACAGGCCGUGCAAAGAUGAUCACAUCGUCAGCAUACAACGAGCACUGAUGACAAAUGGUGUUAUCUGCAGGAGGGGCGAGGACACCCAACUCAGCUGCCCUCCUGAGGAGCCGGUGCAGAACUUCCAUGACAAGUAUGAAAAGCAUCGGCGAAAGGGGGUCGCCUUGUCUCAACCCUCUAGCGUUGUCAAUUAGUCGACCGGGGGAGCCGUUGAGCAGCACUCUGGUGGUGGCCGAAGACAGCAGGACAGAGAUCCAGUCCCUCCAGUUAGUCCCAAAGCCCCUCGCUUGGAGGACUUGCAGGAGAAAUGGCCAGCACACCGUGUCAAAAGCUUUAGAGAUAUCUAACUUGAUUAGCAAACUUGGCUUUCUUUUUCUGUACAGAGUCUUCGCAGCAAGCUCAACAAACUUGAAAUUAUCAUGGAUGGAUCUUCCCUUGACAAAAGCGCUCUGAUUAACAUCCACCAAAUUGUGGAGCUCCUUGCUAAGCCGGUUAGCAAGCAACUUCGUAACUAACUUCGCAAAGCUAUGCACCAGGCUGAUAGGCCUGUAGUCAGCAGGUGAGAAGGCAUCCUGUUUUUUCGGUAUCAGUGUGAUUAGAGAGCUGUUUAACCGGCCAAACUGGAUGCAAGCCCCAUGGUAGAGCGCGUCAAAGCAUGCCAGGACGUCGCGUUUGAUCACCGGCCAAGCCGCUCUAUAGAACUCCGCGGUGAAGCCAUCCGGCCCGGGGGCACGCUCUUUAGGUAGCUCGACGAUGGUUCUCCAUAUCUCCUGUUCAGGGAAUGGAGCUUCCAGGGGAUCCAGGUCCAGUGGCAGUAGUCCCAGCGAAGCAAGGUCAAUAGCCUCAGUUCUGGAAGAAGGUGUUCCAAGGAUCAUCCUGAAGUAAUUGUAUAGAAGUAGCUCCUUUUCAUCAUGUGUGAUAGCAAUGACACCGUUGUGCUCAAGUCUAGCUAUAUGUUUCUUCCUCGUGCGGUGACUGGCAUGGAGGUAAAAUAAUUUAGUAUUGGCGUCACCCUCUUUUAGGAAGAGAAGCCUGGACCGUUGGCGUGCAAUGGUGCGCUCAAGGGAAGAGAGGCCAAGGACUUUGCAUUUGAGCUGAGCCCUCAAAUGAGCUUCAUCUGAUGAUAGGGGCCUGACCUCCUGCGCCCGGUCCAGCCACAGGAUUAGAGCUCUGGCUGUCAUGAGCUGCACUUUGACAUCACCCACUUUCCUACUGCUCCACUGCUGCAGCGCCUUGGAGGUCCUCUUAAGCCUCUGGUCAAGGGAGAUGAACGGGUCGUUUGUGGCCGUCGGCCCAUCCCAGGCCCCCUGGACAGCUGCAAGGAAACCGGGCAUUCGAACCCACCAUGGUUCGAAGUGAAAACGACGCUUGGGGAGAUAGCUGGCGUUGGACGCCAAUAAAAGUGGGCAAUGAUCCGAAAUGUCCGUUGAUAGCGCCUGAAGCGUUGCAAAGCAAUAACAAACUUCCCAAUCCACCGACACAAGAACACGAUCAAGCUGUGCCAUAACCGGAGUUUGUCGCUCAUUACUCCAUGUAUAUCUUCUGCCCUGGAGGUAGAUCUCCUUCAGGUUGACAUCAUCCACGAAGCGCCGAAAGCGGCCGAUAUUGCGACGAUUAAUGUUGGAUGUGCUUUUCUCCGAUGCUCGCAAGAUGAGGUUGAAGUCCCCCACGACAAGCCACCUGGACGAUGCCAGCGAGUGAACUAAGCGCAGUUCGUCAAGGAAUUCAACUUUUUCACCGUCUGGCUGAGGUCCGUAAACGUUAGUCAAAGUCCAAGGCGAGUCAUGGCCUUGUAUUUGAGCUGAAAUGGUUAAGGAGUGGCGUCCCCCAUGCAAACGCACACAAGAAACAUCUGGGCUUUUGCAGGCUAUCAGAAUGCCUCCUCUGGUACCUUCGGCCGGCAGAUAGUCGAACCACGAGAAGGAGCCGCCCAGCAUGCUAGCAAUCGUGAAAGGUGUGAUAGCACUCAAUUUAGUCUCCUGAAUACAAACAAUAGACGCCCUCGAGUCGGACACCAAAGAGCGCAGAGCUUCGCGACGGGAACGAGCGUUCAGACCGCGGACAUUCCACACCAGCAUAUUAAUAUUUGCAACUUCCAUUAGAAAACGUAGCCCCAGUCAGCAGGAUACAACAGUAGCGCAGCGUUAGACGCUGAUCACCUCAGAUUGGCUCACCAGGUGCCUAAGCUGGGCGUCAGUGAGACCGUUAGCCAUUGGAAGGAUGUCACGGAGUGCAGCAAAAUGCUGGGGCUGCACAGAGGACGACAGGAACUUAUCAAAGUUGCGGGGAGUGGCGCAGUUGUCAUCAGCAUCCUGGGACAGAACUCCCAAUUUCUUCAUGGCGAGGAUCUCUCCCUUACGGGAAGGGCGAACAGCAGCAUUGAGCGGUUUGGUGGCGAGCCGGUUGCUACGGCGGGGCGUCUCUUUAAUGAUGGGCGGCGCCACUUGGGUCCGGGGACAUUCUGCCAGCGGGGGAUCCAGGGGCAUUCGAACACUAUGGAGGAAGGCCUCAGUUCUCGCCCGCGCCACCACGGAGGAAGAGGGGGAUGGUGGUAACUCCAACUGUGGUUCCGAAGGCGAAGUCAUCUCCUGCGUCGGCGGCACCUGCUCAGACGGAGAGGGAUCCGCCAGCAACACCGGCGAGCGACGAGGACGCCUGGAAUACGUGCAGGGAGGGGUCGGAUGCUCCCAGGCCUGCAUAACUCCCAGCUCAUCCGAAACCGGCGACUGGUCCCUCGGCAACAAAGAUACAAUAGUAGUUUCAAGCAACAUUGGAUCAUCACGAGGCGGGGGUGAAGAAGACGAAGUGGACGGGAACAAGUCGGGUGAGAGGUCCACUGGAGGGCGCGUGUCAAGGCGACCUAGUCCCCGAUGCUCACCACCCUGCGGUGCCACAGCAGCCGGGUGUGGCGGCGACUUGCAACGUACAGGGAGGCCAAACGCGCCCACACCGGGGUCCGGCCCUCCAAGAUGAGGUACGAGUGGUUGAGGCCGAGCAGAGGCCGCCGCCGGGCGCGCCGUCACAAGGGCUUCAGGCCGCCGCAGCGUCCGGGACGGCGGCGGCGCCGAAGAGACACGCCUGGUGCCAGAGCCCGAAGCAGCGACAUCGUCUCCGCCGAAGAAGGAGCCGUCCUCGAAACCUUGCCGCGUGGGGAAGCCGUGCAGCCGCGGUCCGACUCCGCCCCCUCCAGGGGCGAAACGGUCGGGGUCGCCAUCACGAUCAGACCCCCCAUCGCUGGACGGAGGUGAAGGGGAUGGAGUCGGCGAGCGCGAGCGGAAAUCCGUGACAUGGCGAAGCCGGAUGACGAUAUCGUAAAACAGUCCUUUCUUCAGCCUUAGGUAAGGCGGAAGGUUCCCCCAAAUACUCUGCAUCAUCGGGUCGUCGUAAGAUAUCUGCUGUUCAUGCUCUGCAAUCCAGAGCCUACAUCGCUUCGGGAUGCGGGCCGGGUCGUCAGUCCAUCCCUGCACCUUCAACAUCCGCCCGUCGCCGGGAGCAGACGCCACCUGCUCCACCCAGCAACCGGGAGCAAGGAUUUUCCUCGCUGUGCGGGCGCACCAGGCGUGCGCGGGGAUGCCAUCCAGCUCCAGAGACACACGAAAGAGGCAAGAGCCGGCGUUCGCCCGGACCAGCCGUGUCCAGGGGCGGAGGGAGAAGCGGAGGUCGCCAACCUGCACGAACCGCGCAUCCAUAGCCGCGUCCCUGGCGCGCUGCGACGUGAAGGAGACCAGAAAACUCUCGGGCCAGAAUUGGCGCACCGAGAAGUUGUCGGACCCAGCCACCGGCAAUUCAGCAAUCGCGCGGCGAAAUCCCUCAAUCGGCAGAUCCGCCGGAGCACCUGGAGCCGCCGCCAGAAGAGAGAACCGCAGGCGCUCCUCCUCCGCAUCCAUAGCAGCAUCUCUAGAUAGGAAGCAGGUGACUUCCCCGGGGCGGCAAUCAGGGUGACCGGGAGGGAAGUCGUUGAAGAAGAGCUCGUUGCCGAUGUCGUCAUCAGAGGGGGUGCCAGAGCCCGACGGCCCUUCGUGAAGCGGGGGCCGCGGCGGGUUCAGCUGCAGCGAUGACGCGGUCAUGGAUCCACGCGGGUGGGAGGUAGCAUUGCCCUCCCCCGCAACCGACCGGGGGGGCGGGGCGUCCGCCGAGCGAGCUCCAGGGAGAGGCGGUGAGGGAGUGCGGCCGCCGGCGUCGCGCCCACGAGGCGUCGGAGGGGAAUCCCGCCGGGCACGCACGAAGCAGCGCUCGUCCCCAACGCCGGAGGAGGCGGAGCUGACCGGGCUGCGCGGUCGCUUGCAAUCGCGGGCGAGGUGCCAGAACCCGUGACACCGGAAGCAACGGAUGGGGCGACGACAUUGGGCAAUGAGGUGACUGAAGGAAAGGCAGUUGAGGCAUCGACCAUUGAGCUCCGGCGGGAUGCCCUUCGCCGCAGGUCGGGGAUUGAGGGCCUCCAAGAACUGGCGCUGCGCCCGGCGUUGACGCCGACGCCUCCUGGACCGGGUGCGGCGACUCUCCGCUGUAGUCCAACCCUCGUCCGCCGCAGCAUUGGGCGGAGGCAGAGGAGCGGCUGCAGAUCGAACAGCCGGGGGGGCGUGGCCUCGUGGAGGGGGCCCGGGGGCCACAGAGGUCUGGCCGCGGCGCCCAAUGGGGCGGCGGCCGGCACCUCGCGGCCCAGGGGCGACGUCCCUUGCCGGGGGAGGGAGGCACGGGGGAGGCGCGGUGGGGUGGGAUGGGGGGGGGAGCCUUGACAGGUGGGGGGGGGGGGGGCGGCGGGCUGGAUAAGAGGAUGUCGCGGUAGGACGGUCGCGGGGAUCCUCCGUAGGAGGACGAGUCAGAUCCGGACUCGUCCCUCCAUCGGACCUGCUUGCCCCGACCGCCGGAAGUCCCCCCGGGGAAGAAGGGUUCCGCGCGGGGGGAGAGCCUUCGGGACGGGGAGGGGGAUCCUCCCAAAGUGGGGCUGGUGGUCACCGGUGCCGGAGUGGCCGCCGGUGAGGGGUGGUCGUGGGGACCGGGGGCGGCGCUCAACGGGGAGCGCGGGGAGCGGAGCGAAGCGAGAGCCAUCGAUAAUGCUUGGCCGUGUUUAUGACAUCGCACUUUAUAAUCGCCCAACAGGCCUUGUAAAAUGCCCCAGUGAAGCCAUCCGGUCCCGGUGCCUUGUCCGAUGGUAUGUCUAGUAUUGCAUGUUUAAUUUCCUCCUCCGUGAAAGGUUCGGCGAGGGAGCUGAGGUCCAGACUGGGGAGAUUUAUGCUGUCCCAGUUAACGUCCUGUGAUCGUUGUCCCGUCGGUCCCAUUAUCGUAGCGAAGUGGUCUUGAAUUAUGUUGACUUUUUCUUCGUAAUUGAAGACCCAAAUGGAUCCUUGUUUUAGUCGUUGAAUGUAGUUUUUCUUCUUCCUUCCAUUAACCCUCCGAUGGAAGUAUUUGGUAUUAGCAUCACCUAAUUUGAUAUUCGUAAUGUGUGAUGCUUGUUUCCGUCUGACCCUUUCAACCACCUCUAGGCCGAGGAUUCUUCGCUUAAGUUUUUGCUGCAGGUUCAAUUCGUCCCUGGUGAGGGCUCUAUGCUCUUGCGCCAUAUCUAAUCUGAGGACGACAUCACACGCCAUGAGAAGCUACAUCUUGGCAUCCGGGUAAAAGUUGUGGCUCCAGGCUCUAAGCAUUUGGGAAGUUUCCCGUAACUUGUGAUACAGGCGGUGAAAAGUCUCGUGGUGAGCGCAGGGCUUACUCCAAGCUUCGACUACUACCUCCUUGAAGCGUGGCAAUCUCAGCCAAAACGCCUCGAACUGGAAUGUCCUUGGCCGUCAUGGUCCACUUUGAUUGGAAAGGAGUAGUGGGCAGUGAUCCAAGUGUGAUGUUGAAAGUGCAUGUAGAGCGUGGGAGGCAAAUAAGGCAUCACCUUCCGUAUUACAGAACAUUCGGUCGAGUCUGACAAGCGUCGGAUUUUGUUGCUCAUUGCUCCAUGUGAAGUGGCGGUUCUGAAGUGGAAUUUCCUUGAGCUCGCAAUCACUAAUCGCCUCCCUGAAUAGACUCAUCAUUCUAGUAUUUAGCCUAGAAUUGUUCUUGUCCGCGGCUCUGUAUAUGAGGUUAAAAUCCCCCAUAAUAAUUCACGGUGUCCCACUGGAAGGCUUAAGUGUUAGCAUUUCUUGUAAGAAGGCUCUCUUUUGCCCCUGACUGGAUGGUCCGUAGACAUUUGACAGUCUGAAGGUUUCGCCAUCAUGUAGUGAAAUAGAGGCUGAUAAGUGAAACAUCCCCACGGUAAUCUGUGAGACCUGCACUACCCUCUCAUCCCACAGUAUCAGCAGUCCUCCUCUUGUACCUGAAGCUCCUGUGGCUGGCGCGAAAGCGGUUUUGGUUAGCCUGUACCCACCCAAGUAAGACGCGGUGAAGUCAUCUAUCUGUGCAAGCUUGGUUUCCUGGAAACAUGCAAUGGCGCACGUCGUGUUGGCCACAAUCUGGUGAACUACAUCCUUACGGGCUUGCUGAUUAAGACCCCGUACAUUCCAACAUAAUACAUCAACGUCGGGGCCGAUCAUCUGAAACAGCACGGCGCUUCUCAGUGUUCUUCAGGCCUAAACGGCCGAAGCAUUCAAACCCCUGCUGACGGCCGAAAGACGCACAGAGAGUGUCACAGAGCAAUGAAGAUGACUUGCAAAAUAUCAGUUGCAACAUGUUUUGCAGCUUGAAAUUACAAGCAUAUUGAAUAAGUCUUGCAACAUGUUGAAGGCGUACAGGAAGUCUUGCAACACACAGCCACCAUCUGAACAUGUUUUGCAGCUUGAAAUUACAACCACAUUGAAUAAGUGUUGCAACAUGUUGACCUGACAAGAUGAAUCAGUAUGCUGCUGUUGGAAAAGAAAAGGACAGCAAAGUAUUUGUAGAUUAGAUUAUACCUUUUUCUGAAUAUUCACUAUCAGGCACUCGUUUAGAUGAUGUGUGCCAAUAGGUUACCAUCCCUAAUUUUCAGCACAUUAGGUUUUCAGUGCUUAAGUGGCGCUUUCCAGAAGUUGUCAGAACUCAGAAAUGACAUAUCAACUUCUGCUGGCAUUCUGAGUACGUAGUGAUUUCUCUGCUGAUAUGUCAUUUCUGAUGAAAAUAACUAUGUAUUGUGAAUAUUUUUUCAUGAUGACUAGUGGCAUGCUGCAAAUUUACGUAAUUAUCCUAUGGAGUAACGUGUGUGCGCUUUUAUGUCCAAUAGUGUUGAUUCAAUGGGUAUAAUAGUUCAUUUAACACAAUCUUCUACCCAUACCCCUUUUCCAGGUGUAAACCAACACAUGGCUACCAGUUUACCAGAAUGAGGAGGAGAUUCUUGGUUGCUGGCAAAAAUUAGCAUUCCUUCCAUUAUGCUUUUGACUCCUACAGUACCUUUGUAGUGUGUAGUACUUAAGUUACUAUUGUUGUUUACAAAUCUUUAUCUGUGUGCUGCAUUCUCGCACUGCUGAAUUGUUGCAAUGUGGAUUUUUACACAUUUAGUAUACAUUCCCUCCAUCCCAAAUUAUAAA
This 12632-nucleotide long non-coding RNA is filed under the name Setaria viridis. RNAcentral describes it as "long non-coding RNA (SVIR_LNC008557)". Lineage: Eukaryota; Viridiplantae; Streptophyta; Magnoliopsida; Poales; Poaceae. The record is from RNAcentral.